CCCAGACCCCCAAAUCUCCAAUUUCUCACAAGUGAAUUUAGGCAAACUAAAGAAGACAUCUCUGUUCUGUUCAAUACUUCUUCAAGAUCUUGGAUAAUUAGUGGUAUGGAAAGUAAAGAAGUCACAGGUUGGGACAUUUAGACAAGAGUGAAUCACACACAUGAGGAAUGUGUUCAUUCUUUUAUUGUCCAUUGUUUUAACCUGACUGAAUACAAGAUCAACAAGAGCACUGUACUCCUGGCAAUUAUUACAUAUGUUAGAACAUGGAUUUUGCACUGUAGACAACAUUUAACACCAGUCUAUGGGGUACUGCAUUGCUUUUUAUAAAGUUCAAAAUAAAGAUUUAUUUUCAAACAA
RNAcentral lists this small RNA (357 nucleotides) under Pongo abelii (Sumatran orangutan). Its description in RNAcentral is "processed transcript". The record is from RNAcentral. Lineage: Eukaryota; Metazoa; Chordata; Mammalia; Primates; Hominidae.